RNAcentral lists this ribosomal RNA (254 nucleotides) under uncultured bacterium. Its description in RNAcentral is "partial 16S ribosomal RNA". It matches the Rfam family "Bacterial small subunit ribosomal RNA", at positions 524 to 776 of the family's 1533-position model. The record is from RNAcentral.
UACGUAGGGUCCGAGCGUUGUCCGGAUUUAUUGGGCGUAAAGAGCUCGUAGGCGGUUCCGUAAGUCAGAUGUGAAAACUCAGGGCUCAACCCGGAGACGCCAUCUGAUACUGCGGUGACUGGAGUCUGGUAGGGGAUCACGGAAUUCCUGGUGUAGCGGUGAAAUGCGCAGAUAUCAGGAGGAACACCGAUGGCGAAGGCAGUGAUCUGGGCCAGUACUGACGCUGAGGAGCGAAAGCGUGGGGAGCAAACAGG